GACGAACGCUGGCGGCGUGCCUAAUACAUGCAAGUAGAACGCUGAAGGAGGAGCUUGCUUCUCUGGAUGAGUUGCGAACGGGUGAGUAACGCGUAGGUAACCUGCCUGGUAGCGGGGGAUAACUAUUGGAAACGAUAGCUAAUACCGCAUAAGAGUAGAUGUUGCAUGACAUUUGCUUAAAAGGUGCAAUUGCAUCACUACCAGAUGGACCUGCGUUGUAUUAGCUAGUUGGUGAGGUAACGGCUCACCAAGGCAACGAUACAUAGCCGACCUGAGAGGGUGAUCGGCCACACUGGGACUGAGACACGGCCCAGACUCCUACGGGAGGCAGCAGUAGGGAAUCUUCGGCAAUGGACGGAAGUCUGACCGAGCAACGCCGCGUGAGUGAAGAAGGUUUUCGGAUCGUAAAGCUCUGUUGUAAGAGAAGAACGAGUGUGAGAGUGGAAAGUUCACACUGUGACGGUAUCUUACCAGAAAGAGACGGCUAACUACGUG
Molecule: ribosomal RNA, 495 nt
Filed under: uncultured bacterium
Lineage: Bacteria
Description: partial 16S ribosomal RNA
Rfam family: Bacterial small subunit ribosomal RNA
Source: RNAcentral